This 344-nucleotide long non-coding RNA is filed under the name Cyanistes caeruleus (blue tit). Its description in RNAcentral is "lncRNA (ENSCCEG00000009071.1)". Lineage: Eukaryota; Metazoa; Chordata; Aves; Passeriformes; Paridae. The record is from RNAcentral.
AGCCUAACAGAGAGAGAGAGGGAGAGUCUGGCUCUCAGAGCUGCUUCUCUUAAACUCAAGAAUAAGAGAAGAAUUACUAAGAACUCAGUAUUUUCUUCUAGCUGCUGGCUCUCCUACCACACCAAUGUCCUGUUGUAUUAAGAGGCUACACAUCUGUGCCUGUCUAACACACCUGCUAGACCUCUUGAGAGAUAUGAUUAUAUUAAUUACAAUAUAUUGAUUGAUUUCUACUUUACACGGACUGCCUGUAUUUAAUUUAAAUAUACAAUGAAGCAUAUUGAGGACACAAUUUGGAUUGUUACUGUGAUAAAUAAUUGCUAAUUGUGUCAUGAUAGAUCACCUAU